UAGGGAAUAUUGGACAAUGGGCGCAAGCCUGAUCCAGCCAUGCCGCGUGAGUGAAGAAGGCCUUCGGGUUGUAAAGCUCUUUUACCAGGGACGAUAAUGACGGUACCUGGAGAAUAAGCCCCGGCAAACUUCGUGCCAGCAGCCGCGGUAAUACGAAGGGGGCUAGCGUUGUUCGGAAUUACUGGGCGUAAAGCGCACGUAGGCGGAUUGUUAAGUCAGAGGUGAAAUCCCGGAGCUCAACUUCGGAACUGCCUUUGAUACUGGCAAUCUAGAGUCCGGAAGAGGUUAGUGGAAUUCCCAGUGUAGAGGUGAAAUUCGUAGAUAUUGGGAAGAACACCAGUGGCGAAGGCGGCUAACUGGUCCGGUACUGACGCUGAGGUGCGAAAGCGUGGGGAG
RNAcentral lists this ribosomal RNA (396 nucleotides) under uncultured bacterium. RNAcentral's name for it is "bacterial SSU rRNA". It matches the Rfam family "Bacterial small subunit ribosomal RNA", at positions 355 to 768 of the family's 1533-position model. The record is from RNAcentral.